RNAcentral lists this long non-coding RNA (977 nucleotides) under Phoenix dactylifera (date palm). Its description in RNAcentral is "long non-coding RNA (PDAC_LNC008772)". The record is from RNAcentral. Lineage: Eukaryota; Viridiplantae; Streptophyta; Magnoliopsida; Arecales; Arecaceae.
AUAAGAUCAAUUGAUAAAUUCUUCAUCAUGCAACAAUCUUACAAUACAAACUCAAGUCAAUAAAAACGAAAUGGAUACUCCUCUAUGGCUUCGUCAAACCCCUAAAUCGAGGUUUAGCUGCUCAUGAUGCUCGGCGACUUUGAUCGGCUUGCUGAGAUGCUCCACGCCAUCCGCCUCUAGUCCUUCCUUCUUUUUCUUUCACUAAUUGAUCCGCUCCCAGCCUCCCUCUAUUUUUUUAUUUUUUAUUCCCCCUUUUUGGCACAAAACAGAGCAUGCUCUGUUCUUCAAACCGUGCUCUCCCCCUCGCCUCCCUUCUUCCGUCUUCCUCUUAUAGAUCGCCGAAGACCCGGCGAUCGAUUCCCAGAGAGGAGGAGGGCGUGGUCUGCGGUCUUUGAUCUCGCGGAGGCUGGAUUAUGGGUGCUGUUGCAUGCGGCUGAUGGCUGGAAAUAGGCAUGAUCCGUGGAGCUCGGAUGCGGAAGAGCUUGGCUCACAGGCUGCUGGGGCUUCCUUCACAGAUGGCUGGAGGAUCCAACGGAUGCAUUCCGGGCAAAUUACGGGGAGACUGGAUCACAGAAGAGGAGGAUACGCUGGAACAUUGGAUGAUCGCUAGCUGCACGCGGCUGAUGGCGGAACACCCGAGGACGCUGGGAAGAGCUGAUCAUGCUUGGAGCUAGGAAUCUAGAGGAGGAAGAGUCGCUACGCCAUCUCUGGGAUUCGGAAGCUGGUGGCUGGAUGGACGAUGAUUGCGGAGGAGAUUCGGUGUGGAUGCGGAAGGGCUGAAGAAGAAGGUGGCUGGAUCGGUGGCUCCGGAUGCUCCGUGGAUGGCUGAUCACGGACGGCUAGGAAGAGAGGCUGGCCGCGGGAUCGACGGGAGGACGCCGUGGAAGGUGGACGGCCGCGGGAUCGACGGGAAGAUGCAGUGGAAGGUGGACGGCCGAGAUGCUCUGCGGGAGGAAGAAGAUGAACAGUGGAAUGAG